CUCGUUUUCUUCCAGAAAGACCCGCAUGAAGUCAAACUAAUUGGACGGUAGUGCUGCGCCAACAGCGGAUCUUUCCCCGUUUUAAGUAUGGGAACGACUAUGGCCCGUUUCCACUCAUCAGGGUUUGCUACAAUGACGAAGCAUCUGAUUGUGGAUACUAUCGUGACCGGGAGCGCAGGAUUUCGUGUUUUUAAGUGCAGAUUCUAAUUCAUCCAUACUAAAAGCUUUAGUCUCAAGGAAAAACGCUGGAUAGUUUAACGAACUACUGACCUGAUAGAAAUGGUCUGCCAAGAGGUUCGAAAUUUCUUGUAAAUCUUUCGUAACCACCCCAUCGUUUUUCCGAAGGAAUGCCGGGUAGUUUAGUUUAGAUUUGCCAGAUAUCGCACCCAUCUUUUUCCAUAUUUCACUCAUAGUCACGUCCGUCGUUAUGGUGGAUACAUAGUGUUGCCACGACCUUCUUUGUGCCUGGAGAUUUAUGCCGAAUAUUAAUCGCAAGCACGAAUUUUGAAUUUUUUGUAUUCUACGAGCAUCCAGACUAUCGAGGCAAGGACCAUA
Molecule: long non-coding RNA, 555 nt
Organism: Photinus pyralis (common eastern firefly)
Lineage: Eukaryota; Metazoa; Arthropoda; Insecta; Coleoptera; Lampyridae
Exons: 3
Source: RefSeq, a predicted model, not a curated record